GUAAGGCUGUACACUGUUACCUCUACCUUUGGGUGUUAAUUAAUGUGUCUGAAUAAUGUCAAAUCCCUAUAACAUCGUCCUUGCCAAUCUGCUAUGUUGUAAAAGAUAUUUUUGCCCCCAAGAAGUAAUUUUGUCGUUGCUAGUAUUCAAGUAGAUUGAUUACUCAAGUAAACAGUUUUGUUGUUGCUAAUAUACUGAAUAAAUGUGAUGGCAUGCAGAUUUAAGGCAUGCAUCUCUCUCAUGCUCAUGCUUAGAUAUGGCACAAAAUGUGCACCUGCAUAUAGGUAAAAUUUCUGUAACCUUUCUUCUUUAAACUUAGCGUACUGCCAAUGACAAAAUUACUGUAUUGUUAUCUGAUUGGCCUUGACACCGACACUGUAACCCACAUCCGGCUCCCUAUGUAGUGGCGCAACCCGACCAUUAUCGUUACAGUUUGAACAUCUAUUAAUACGACUUUAUGUUUAUAUUAGGCUGAAUCUAAAAUUAUGCUUGGAAAGUGCCGGAUACACUGAAGGUGUGAGAUUAACACAGAAUCAUCUGUAUUAAUAGACAGUGUGAUAAGAUUUGAAGAUACCCAGACAAAUGCUAUGCCUUAUAUUCCUGCCGAUGGUGUUCCGUUCGUAAUAAUUGGGGAAAAGAUUUACGACUGUCAGCAUGGACGUGACCACCAUCAAAAGGACAAAACCAGAAAUAAAAUGGAUUCAAAGGGAGAUCACACAUUUACAAAGAAUAAAGAACAAUACAGCCAACUAAAAAGAUUAACUGUCCGGCAAAAAUCAGAGUUAGGUACAUUUUCCGACCUCAAGGCGGCUUUAUUAAUCUAACCUAUGGACAGCCAUUUAAAGGACUACAUAUUCCAAAUGGUCAAUAAUCAUAAUGUCCUGAGCACUACACUAAUGAAAACAUUGUUGGAAGUUCAUUUAAAACAGGACUUGUUUCCGAAUCAGCUACCACCAUGUUACAGCAAACGUUUUUAUCCGUCUCU
Long non-coding RNA from Mytilus californianus (California mussel), 985 nucleotides. RefSeq lists it as uncharacterized. The transcript is spliced from 4 exons. NCBI's taxonomy places the organism in Eukaryota, Metazoa, Mollusca, Bivalvia, Mytilida, Mytilidae. The record is from RefSeq and is a predicted model, not a curated record.